Molecule: ribosomal RNA, 1454 nt
Filed under: bacterium
Lineage: Bacteria
Description: bacterial SSU rRNA
Rfam family: Bacterial small subunit ribosomal RNA
Source: RNAcentral
CCCUUAUUCCCGGCAGGCCUAACACAUGCAAGUCGAGCGGUAGCACAGAGAGCUUGCUCUCGGGUGACGAGCGGCGGACGGGUGAGUAAUGUCUGGGAAACUGCCUGAUGGAGGGGGAUAACUACUGGAAACGGUAGCUAAUACCGCAUAAUGUCGCAAGACCAAAGAGGGGGACCUUCGGGCCUCUUGCCAUCAGAUGUGCCCAGAUGGGAUUAGCUAGUAGGUGGGGUAACGGCUCACCUAGGCGACGAUCCCUAGCUGGUCUGAGAGGAUGACCAGCCACACUGGAACUGAGACACGGUCCAGACUCCUACGGGAGGCAGCAGUGGGGAAUAUUGCACAAUGGGCGCAAGCCUGAUGCAGCCAUGCCGCGUGUAUGAAGAAGGCCUUCGGGUUGUAAAGUACUUUCAGCGGGGAGGAAGGUGUUGAGGUUAAUAACCUCAGCAAUUGACGUUACCCGCAGAAGAAGCACCGGCUAACUCCGUGCCAGCAGCCGCGGUAAUACGGAGGGUGCAAGCGUUAAUCGGAAUUACUGGGCGUAAAGCGCACGCAGGCGGUCUGUCAAGUCGGAUGUGAAAUCCCCGGGCUCAACCUGGGAACUGCAUUCGAAACUGGCAGGCUAGAGUCUUGUAGAGGGGGGUAGAAUUCCAGGUGUAGCGGUGAAAUGCGUAGAGAUCUGGAGGAAUACCGGUGGCGAAGGCGGCCCCCUGGACAAAGACUGACGCUCAGGUGCGAAAGCGUGGGGAGCAAACAGGAUUAGAUACCCUGGUAGUCCACGCCGUAAACGAUGUCGACUUGGAGGUUGUGCCCUUGAGGCGUGGCUUCCGGAGCUAACGCGUUAAGUCGACCGCCUGGGGAGUACGGCCGCAAGGUUAAAACUCAAAUGAAUUGACGGGGGCCCGCACAAGCGGUGGAGCAUGUGGUUUAAUUCGAUGCAACGCGAAGAACCUUACCUACUCUUGACAUCCAGAGAACUUUCCAGAGAUGGAUUGGUGCCUUCGGGAACUCUGAGACAGGUGCUGCAUGGCUGUCGUCAGCUCGUGUUGUGAAAUGUUGGGUUAAGUCCCGCAACGAGCGCAACCCUUAUCCUUUGUUGCCAGCGGUCCGGCCGGGAACUCAAAGGAGACUGCCAGUGAUAAACUGGAGGAAGGUGGGGAUGACGUCAAGUCAUCAUGGCCCUUACGAGUAGGGCUACACACGUGCUACAAUGGCGCAUACAAAGAGAAGCGACCUCGCGAGAGCAAGCGGACCUCAUAAAGUGCGUCGUAGUCCGGAUUGGAGUCUGCAACUCGACUCCAUGAAGUCGGAAUCGCUAGUAAUCGUAGAUCAGAAUGCUACGGUGAAUACGUUCCCGGGCCUUGUACACACCGCCCGUCACACCAUGGGAGUGGGUUGCAAAAGAAGUAGGUAGCUUAACCUUCGGGAGGGCGCUACCCACCUUUUAUUUCAAGGGC